RNAcentral lists this ribosomal RNA (250 nucleotides) under uncultured prokaryote. RNAcentral describes it as "partial 16S ribosomal RNA". It matches the Rfam family "Bacterial small subunit ribosomal RNA", at positions 524 to 773 of the family's 1533-position model. The record is from RNAcentral.
UACGGAAGGUCCGGGCGUUAUCCGGAUUUAUUGGGUUUAAAGGGAGCGCAGGCGGGAUAUUAAGCGUGACGUGAAAUGUAGGUGCUCAACAUCUGCACUGCGUCGCGAACUGGUAUUCUUGAGUGCAUUCGACGCUGGCGGAAUUCGUGGUGUAGCGGUGAAAUGCUUAGAUAUCACGAAGAACUCCGAUUGCGAAGGCAGCCGGCGAGACUGUAACUGACGCUAAAGCUCGAAAGUGCGGGUAUCGAAC